UACACGCCCGCAACAACGACAACGUGGCCCGCACCGUUACCUUGUUUAUCGACAUCUUUCACAGUACCUACCACGGCGUCACGACGGGGACGGCUGCCCAGUCUGAAAAGAUGGAGACAUUACAAGCAGGGCAAAGCCAGACUUUCACCUUGAGUGUGUCACCCCAGCAAGCAAUGAUGCGCCCACAGGAAGGCUUCAACUUCCAGAUCCAGGUUUUAACGAAGGUCAAGGAAACCGGAAGUCUGUUCACACAACUCUACAACGUUCAGCUGCGCCGCCCCGACCUUGUUAUAAAGGGUCCUUCCACUGUUAAAGCCGGGGAGACAGUAGAGGUGGA
Long non-coding RNA from Haliotis rubra (blacklip abalone), 337 nucleotides. RefSeq lists it as uncharacterized. The transcript has 3 exons. The record is from RefSeq and is a predicted model, not a curated record. NCBI's taxonomy places the organism in Eukaryota, Metazoa, Mollusca, Gastropoda, Lepetellida, Haliotidae.